CGUGGGGCGGGCGCGGCGGCUCGGACCGCGGGGGCGACCGCGGUGGCGACAGAAGAAGUUACGGCGGGAGCGGCGGAGGCGACCGCGGUAGCGGCGGUGGCGACCGCGGCAGCGGCGGUGCCAUGAGGGGUGAUGGCGGGGGCAGAGACCGCCAGAGACCGUAUUAAUUUUACGUAAUGUAAUGAUUUAUUGAUAAAGCAUUGAAUUUGACAUAAGUUGUAAUUGUAAUUUAGAAACAGAAGUUUAGAUAGAACAUUCAGUCCCACUCAGUAACAUUUAGUGAGAAGCCACACGGUGCCGCAUCACUGUACACAUGUGGUAUGCGGCGCCGCAAUACGGCACCGUCUCGCUCAAUCGAAGUGCGGUGUGCCUGCGGUGCGGCGUCAGAACGCACCGUCUGGCAUAUCAUUGAUUUUUAUCGCCGCAGCGGCAUCGCUCCGGCGCCGCGCCGCGACCGCAUCGCACCGUGUGGCUUCUCCCUUAGACUGGGUUGCACCAUCUUACUUUAUCUUUGACAAACGUCAAAAAUCUGAAACUCCCAUACAAAAAGCACCGGUUAACGUAAUAGUUAGGUGGUGCAACUCAGCCUAAUUAUUACUCAAAUUAGCAUAGAAGAGUUAUCAUAUUUUUCGUAAUGAUUAAACAGAAACGUUUCUGAGUGCAACCAUAUAAAAACCGGUUUUUAAUUAAAUCUUCAUUUUUUUAAAUAACAGAUAAGUAAUGAAUAACCUUUCUCGUUUUUUUUAAACUUAAAACAUGCAGAACUGAUAAAUAAUUAUUAACAUAAUAUUUAAUUAGGAACCGGUUAAAAUGUAUUAGUUAUAUCGAUGUAUGGAAAAGUAAAUGAUGUUUAUUGAUAUUUUAUGACUGUUUGUAAGAUUUAUAGCAAAUCAUUUCCAUAUGUUAUGUAUUUUCUCAAUACAAUAUGUAAAAGCAUUUACUAGAAUGAUUGUUUGGUAAGUA
Ostrinia nubilalis (European corn borer) is the source of this 963-nucleotide long non-coding RNA. RefSeq lists it as uncharacterized. The transcript is spliced from 2 exons. The record is from RefSeq and is a predicted model, not a curated record. Lineage: Eukaryota; Metazoa; Arthropoda; Insecta; Lepidoptera; Crambidae.